UGAUGGUGCCAAUUGGCAUAAACCCGUAGAUCCGAUCUUGUGGUAAAGUACAUUGCACAAGCUCGCUUCUAUGGGUCUGUGUCACUCUGGUGAUCUGGC
This is a microRNA precursor of Pelodiscus sinensis (Chinese soft-shelled turtle), 99 nucleotides long. Ensembl annotates it as microRNA 99a. The record is from Ensembl. NCBI's taxonomy places the organism in Eukaryota, Metazoa, Chordata, Testudines, Trionychidae.